RNAcentral lists this transfer RNA (76 nucleotides) under Lachnospiraceae bacterium. Its description in RNAcentral is "tRNA-Lys". It matches the Rfam family "tRNA". From Rfam's summary of the family: Transfer RNA (tRNA) molecules are approximately 80 nucleotides in length. Their secondary structure includes four short double-helical elements and three loops (D, anti-codon, and T loops). Further hydrogen bonds mediate the characteristic L-shaped molecular structure. tRNAs have two regions of fundamental functional importance: the anti-codon, which is responsible for specific mRNA codon recognition, and the 3' end, to which the tRNAs corresponding amino acid is attached (by aminoacyl-tRNA synthetases). tRNAs cope with the degeneracy of the genetic code in two manners: having more than one tRNA (with a specific anti-codon) for a particular amino acid; and 'wobble' base-pairing, i.e. permitting non-standard base-pairing at the 3rd anti-codon position. Lineage: Bacteria; Bacillati; Bacillota; Clostridia; Lachnospirales; Lachnospiraceae. The record is from RNAcentral.
GAUUCUCUGGUCUAACUGGUAAGACACCGGACUCUUAAUCCGGGCGAUGUGGGUUCGAGUCCCACGGGAAUCACCA